Molecule: non-coding RNA, 73 nt
Organism: Trichonephila inaurata madagascariensis
Lineage: Eukaryota; Metazoa; Arthropoda; Arachnida; Araneae; Nephilidae
Source: the annotation of a GenBank genome assembly
GUCCCUGUAGCGCAACAAAUAGCGCAUUGGACUUCUAAUCCAAAGGUUGUGGGUUCGAAUCUCACCUGGAAUG